Molecule: ribosomal RNA, 421 nt
Filed under: uncultured Cyclobacteriaceae bacterium
Lineage: Bacteria; Pseudomonadati; Bacteroidota; Cytophagia; Cytophagales; Cyclobacteriaceae
Description: bacterial SSU rRNA
Rfam family: Bacterial small subunit ribosomal RNA
Source: RNAcentral
UAGGGAAUAUUGGGCAAUGGUCGGAAGACUGACCCAGCCAUGCCGCGUGCAGGAAGACGGCCCUCUGGGUUGUAAACUGCUUUUAUCUGGGAAGAAAAAGGCCAUGCGUGGCAAAUUGCCGGUACCAGAUGAAUAAGCACCGGCUAACUCCGUGCCAGCAGCCGCGGUAAUACGGAGGGUGCAAGCGUUGUCCGGAUUUAUUGGGUUUAAAGGGUGCGUAGGCGGCUAUUUAAGUCAGCGGUGAAAGACUCCGGCUUAACCGGAGCAGUGCCAUUGAUACUGGAUAGCUUGAGUGUUGGAGGGGUACAUGGAAUUGAUGGUGUAGCGGUGAAAUGCAUAGAUACCAUCAGGAACACCGAUAGCGAAGGCAUUGUACUGGCCAACAACUGACGCUGAGGCACGAAAGUGUGGGGAUCGAACA